This 30-nucleotide small RNA is filed under the name Bombyx mori (domestic silkworm). Its description in RNAcentral is "ovarian small RNA-20610". Lineage: Eukaryota; Metazoa; Arthropoda; Insecta; Lepidoptera; Bombycidae. The record is from RNAcentral.
UACCAUCAGGUGGUCUGGCGUGCAGCGGUA